GACGAACGCUGGCGGCGUGCUUAACACAUGCAAGUCGAACGGAAAGGCCCUGCUUUUGUGGGGUGCUCGAGUGGCGAACGGGUGAGUAACACGUGAGUAACCUGCCCUUGACUUUGGGAUAACUUCAGGAAACUGGGGCUAAUACCGGAUAGGAGCUCCUGCUGCAUGGUGGGGGUUGGAAAGUUUCGGCGGUUGGGGAUGGACUCGCGGCUUAUCAGCUUGUUGGUGGGGUAGUGGCUUACCAAGGCUUUGACGGGUAGCCGGCCUGAGAGGGUGACCGGCCACAUUGGGACUGAGAUACGGCCCAGACUCCUACGGGAGGCAGCAGUGGGGAAUAUUGCACAAUGGGCGGAAGCCUGAUGCAGCAACGCCGCGUGCGGGAUGACGGCCUUCGGGUGGUAAACCGCUUUCGCCUGUGACGAAGCGUGAGUGACGGGAAUGGGGAAAGAAGCACCGGCUAACUACGU
Molecule: ribosomal RNA, 467 nt
Filed under: uncultured bacterium
Lineage: Bacteria
Description: partial 16S ribosomal RNA
Rfam family: Bacterial small subunit ribosomal RNA
Source: RNAcentral